This 72-nucleotide transfer RNA is filed under the name Ovis aries (sheep). It matches the Rfam family "tRNA". Rfam says of the family: Transfer RNA (tRNA) molecules are approximately 80 nucleotides in length. Their secondary structure includes four short double-helical elements and three loops (D, anti-codon, and T loops). Further hydrogen bonds mediate the characteristic L-shaped molecular structure. tRNAs have two regions of fundamental functional importance: the anti-codon, which is responsible for specific mRNA codon recognition, and the 3' end, to which the tRNAs corresponding amino acid is attached (by aminoacyl-tRNA synthetases). tRNAs cope with the degeneracy of the genetic code in two manners: having more than one tRNA (with a specific anti-codon) for a particular amino acid; and 'wobble' base-pairing, i.e. permitting non-standard base-pairing at the 3rd anti-codon position. RNAcentral also lists the same sequence under 2 other names. Lineage: Eukaryota; Metazoa; Chordata; Mammalia; Artiodactyla; Bovidae. The record is from Rfam by way of RNAcentral.
UCCCUGGUGGCUCAGAGGUUAAAGCGUCUGCCUGAAAUGUGGGAGACCUGGGUUCGAUCCCUGGGUUGGGAA